This is a small nuclear RNA of Callithrix jacchus (white-tufted-ear marmoset), 164 nucleotides long. Its record names the gene U1. It matches the Rfam family "U1 spliceosomal RNA". From Rfam's summary of the family: U1 is a small nuclear RNA (snRNA) component of the spliceosome (involved in pre-mRNA splicing). Its 5' end forms complementary base pairs with the 5' splice junction, thus defining the 5' donor site of an intron. There are significant differences in sequence and secondary structure between metazoan and yeast U1 snRNAs, the latter being much longer (568 nucleotides as compared to 164 nucleotides in human). Lineage: Eukaryota; Metazoa; Chordata; Mammalia; Primates; Cebidae. The record is from Ensembl.
CAAAUAACCUGGCAGGGGAGAUAUCAUGAUCAUGAAGGUGGUUUUCCCAAGGCGAGGCUUAUCCAUUGCACUCCGGAUGUGCUGACCCCUGAGAUUUCCCCAAAUGUGGGAAACUCAACCGCAUAAUUUGUGGUAGUGGGGGACUGCGUUUGCACUUUCCCCUG